Molecule: transfer RNA, 83 nt
Filed under: Pelodiscus sinensis (Chinese soft-shelled turtle)
Lineage: Eukaryota; Metazoa; Chordata; Testudines; Trionychidae
Rfam family: tRNA
About the family: Transfer RNA (tRNA) molecules are approximately 80 nucleotides in length. Their secondary structure includes four short double-helical elements and three loops (D, anti-codon, and T loops).
Source: Rfam by way of RNAcentral
ACCAGGAUAUCUGAGUGGUUAAGGUGUUGGACUUAAGCUCCAAUAGAUAUUUGUCUGUGUGGGCUCAAACCCCACUCCUAGUA